UACAGAGGGUGCAAGCGUUGUUCGGAAUUAUUGGGCGUAAAGGGCAAGUAGGUGGUCCCAAAAGUUUACUGUGAAAUCCCUGAGCUUAACUCAGGAACUGCGGUGGAUACUCUGGGACUUGAGUGCUGGAGGGGUGCGUGGAAUUCCUGGUGUAGCGGUGAAAUGCGUAGAUAUCAGGAGGAACACCGGAGGCGAAAGCGGCGCACUGGACAGCAACUGACACUCAAUUGCGAAAGCGUGGGGAGCAAACAGG
RNAcentral lists this ribosomal RNA (253 nucleotides) under uncultured bacterium. Its description in RNAcentral is "partial 16S ribosomal RNA". It matches the Rfam family "Bacterial small subunit ribosomal RNA", at positions 524 to 776 of the family's 1533-position model. The record is from RNAcentral.